This 253-nucleotide ribosomal RNA is filed under the name uncultured bacterium. RNAcentral describes it as "partial 16S ribosomal RNA". It matches the Rfam family "Bacterial small subunit ribosomal RNA", at positions 524 to 776 of the family's 1533-position model. The record is from RNAcentral.
UACGUAGGGUGCAAGCGUUGUCCGGAAUUAUUGGGCGUAAAGAGCUCGUAGGCGGUUUGUUGCGUCGGCUGUGAAAUCCCGAGGCUCAACCUCGGGUCUGCAGUCGAUACGAGCAAACUAGAGUGUUGCAGGGGAGACUGGAAUUCCUGGUGUAGCGGUGAAAUGCGCAGAUAUCAGGAGGAACACCUGCGGUGUAGACAGCUUUCUGGACCACUUCUGACGCUGAGACACGAAAGCGUGGGUAGCAAACAGG